CUUGUUAUUCUGCAGGAAGAGAGCAUCUGGGUGCUUGCAGAAAUAAAACAUAUGGGGAAAGCACAGUCAGGUGCUGUGCAUAGUGAUCGUAAUAAACUUGUUCAGAGGCUAUUUCAAAUUACUCUGCUCCUCAGGACAAAACAGGAUUGCUCCAGCCGUGAGAUGUAGAAACUACAGAAACUACAGGAACAGGAACUACAAACCAAAUACAAAAUCCUUGUGGUGGAAGCAGCAACAGAUCCUACAUUCAGUCAAGAGCACAGCUGUUGAAUUGAAUCUCUCGCCUAUUGGUGGGUUCUGGUUCACAACACAGAGCAGUCUUGGAGAAUACAAAUGGGAUGCCUUUUGGACAAAAGUAAACUGGACAUGCACUGAAAAAACCUCCCAGAAGUAUUGUAGUUGGACCAUCAUCUUGUACAGGAAAAUGGCAAUGUUGGGGUGUUUGGGGUGUUGGGGUUCUAGUUUGGUUUUGGUUGGCGUAGGGAAAACUGGCAUUUUGGUCAGAUUUUAUCGAAACCCUUGAUUAAAAACUAAUGCUUUAGAUAAUGCAGUUUCCUGGUACACAUCAUUUAAUAGUACACUUGAUAAGGAAAUAUAUACCAUAUAUAUAUUACUGUGGUUCCAAUUCUGAUUCUUUAAAACAAAUGCUUAUGCAUGUAAAAAAAUAAAAAAAAAUAAAAAAAAAGAGCCUAUGUUUCA
Long non-coding RNA from Anser brachyrhynchus (Pink-footed goose), 699 nucleotides. The record is from Ensembl. NCBI's taxonomy places the organism in Eukaryota, Metazoa, Chordata, Aves, Anseriformes, Anatidae.